Molecule: ribosomal RNA, 576 nt
Filed under: uncultured bacterium
Lineage: Bacteria
Description: bacterial SSU rRNA
Rfam family: Bacterial small subunit ribosomal RNA
Source: RNAcentral
CCUACGGGAGGCAGCAGUAAGGAAUAUUGGUCAAUGGACGAAAGUCUGAACCAGCCAUGCCGCGUGAAGGAUUAAGGCCCUCUGGGUUGUAAACUUCUUUUAUCUGGGACGAAAAAAGGGUAUUCUUACUCACUUGACGGUACCAGAGGAAUAAGCACCGGCUAACUCCGUGCCAGCAGCCGCGGUAAUACGGAGGGUGCAAGCGUUAUCCGGAUUUACUGGGUUUAAAGGGUGCGUAGGUGGGCUUGUAAGUCAGUGGUGAAAUCUCCGGGCUUAACCCGGAAACUGCCAUUGAUACUAUAGGUCUUGAAUUAUCUGGAGGUAAGCGGAAUAUGUCAUGUAGCGGUGAAAUGCUUAGAUAUGACAUAGAACACCAAUUGCGAAGGCAGCUUACUACGGAUAUAUUGACACUGAGGCACGAAAGCGUGGGAAUCAAACAGGAUUAGAUACCCUGGUAGUCCACGCCCUAAACGAUGGAUACUCGACAUCAGCGAUACACUGUUGGUGUCUGAGCGAAAGCAUUAAGUAUCCACCUGGAAGUACGAUCGCAAGAUUGAAACUCAAAGGAAUUGACGG